GGGUUGUGAGGUUAAGCGACUAAGCGUACACGGUGGAUGCCCUGGCAGUCAGAGGCGAUGAAGGACGUGCUAAUCUGCGAUAAGCGUCGGUAAGGUGAUAUGAACCGUUAUAACCGGCGAUUUCCGAAUGGGGAAACCCAGUGUGAUUCGUCACACUAUCAUUAACUGAAUCCAUAGGUUAAUGAGGCGAACCGGGGGAACUGAAACAUCUAAGUACCCCGAGGAAAAGAAAUCAACCGAGAUUCCCCCAGUAGCGGCGAGCGAACGGGGAGCAGCCCAGAGCCUGAAUCAGUGUGUGUGUUAGUGGAAGCGUCUGGAAAGGCGCGCGAUACAGGGUGACAGCCCCGUACACAAAAAUGCACAUGCUGUGAGCUCGAUGAGUAGGGCGGGACACGUGGUAUCCUGUCUGAAUAUGGGGGGACCAUCCUCCAAGGCUAAAUACUCCUGACUGACCGAUAGUGAACCAGUACCGUGAGGGAAAGGCGAAAAGAACCCCGGCGAGGGGAGUGAAAAAGAACCUGAAACCGUGUACGUACAAGCAGUGGGAGCACGCUUAGGCGUGUGACUGCGUACCUUUUGUAUAAUGGGUCAGCGACUUAUAUUCUGUAGCAAGGUUAACCGAAUAGGGGAGCCGAAGGGAAACCGAGUCUUAACUGGGCGUUAAGUUGCAGGGUAUAGACCCGAAACCCGGUGAUCUAGCCAUGGGCAGGUUGAAGGUUGGGUAACACUAACUGGAGGACCGAACCGACUAAUGUUGAAAAAUUAGCGGAUGACUUGUGGCUGGGGGUGAAAGGCCAAUCAAACCGGGAGAUAGCUGGUUCUCCCCGAAAGCUAUUUAGGUAGCGCCUCGUGAAUUCAUCUCCGGGGGUAGAGCACUGUUUCGGCAAGGGGGUCAUCCCGACUUACCAACCCGAUGCAAACUGCGAAUACCGGAGAAUGUUAUCACGGGAGACACACGGCGGGUGCUAACGUCCGUCGUGAAGAGGGAAACAACCCAGACCGCCAGCUAAGGUCCCAAAGUCAUGGUUAAGUGGGAAACGAUGUGGGAAGGCCCAGACAGCCAGGAUGUUGGCUUAGAAGCAGCCAUCAUUUAAAGAAAGCGUAAUAGCUCACUGGUCGAGUCGGCCUGCGCGGAAGAUGUAACGGGGCUAAACCAUGCACCGAAGCUGCGGCAGCGACGCUUAUGCGUUGUUGGGUAGGGGAGCGUUCUGUAAGCCUGUGAAGGUGUGCUGUGAGGCAUGCUGGAGGUAUCAGAAGUGCGAAUGCUGACAUAAGUAACGAUAAAGCGGGUGAAAAGCCCGCUCGCCGGAAGACCAAGGGUUCCUGUCCAACGUUAAUCGGGGCAGGGUGAGUCGACCCCUAAGGCGAGGCCGAAAGGCGUAGUCGAUGGGAAACAGGUUAAUAUUCCUGUACUUGGUGUUACUGCGAAGGGGGGACGGAGAAGGCUAUGUUGGCCGGGCGACGGUUGUCCCGGUUUAAGCGUGUAGGCUGGUUUUCCAGGCAAAUCCGGAAAAUCAAGGCUGAGGCGUGAUGACGAGGCACUACGGUGCUGAAGCAACAAAUGCCCUGCUUCCAGGAAAAGCCUCUAAGCAUCAGGUAACAUCAAAUCGUACCCCAAACCGACACAGGUGGUCAGGUAGAGAAUACCAAGGCGCUUGAGAGAACUCGGGUGAAGGAACUAGGCAAAAUGGUGCCGUAACUUCGGGAGAAGGCACGCUGAUAUGUAGGUGAAGCGACUUGCUCGUGGAGCUGAAAUCAGUCGAAGAUACCAGCUGGCUGCAACUGUUUAUUAAAAACACAGCACUGUGCAAACACGAAAGUGGACGUAUACGGUGUGACGCCUGCCCGGUGCCGGAAGGUUAAUUGAUGGGGUUAGCGCAAGCGAAGCUCUUGAUCGAAGCCCCGGUAAACGGCGGCCGUAACUAUAACGGUCCUAAGGUAGCGAAAUUCCUUGUCGGGUAAGUUCCGACCUGCACGAAUGGCGUAAUGAUGGCCAGGCUGUCUCCACCCGAGACUCAGUGAAAUUGAACUCGCUGUGAAGAUGCAGUGUACCCGCGGCAAGACGGAAAGACCCCGUGAACCUUUACUAUAGCUUGACACUGAACAUUGAGCCUUGAUGUGUAGGAUAGGUGGGAGGCUUUGAAGUGUGGACGCCAGUCUGCAUGGAGCCGACCUUGAAAUACCACCCUUUAAUGUUUGAUGUUCUAACGUUGACCCGUGAUCCGGGUUGCGGACAGUGUCUGGUGGGUAGUUUGACUGGGGCGGUCUCCUCCUAAAGAGUAACGGAGGAGCACGAAGGUUGGCUAAUCCUGGUCGGACAUCAGGAGGUUAGUGCAAUGGCAUAAGCCAGCUUGACUGCGAGCGUGACGGCGCGAGCAGGUGCGAAAGCAGGUCAUAGUGAUCCGGUGGUUCUGAAUGGAAGGGCCAUCGCUCAACGGAUAAAAGGUACUCCGGGGAUAACAGGCUGAUACCGCCCAAGAGUUCAUAUCGACGGCGGUGUUUGGCACCUCGAUGUCGGCUCAUCACAUCCUGGGGCUGAAGUAGGUCCCAAGGGUAUGGCUGUUCGCCAUUUAAAGUGGUACGCGAGCUGGGUUUAGAACGUCGUGAGACAGUUCGGUCCCUAUCUGCCGUGGGCGCUGGAGAACUGAGGGGGGCUGCUCCUAGUACGAGAGGACCGGAGUGGACGCAUCACUGGUGUUCGGGUUGUCAUGCCAAUGGCACUGCCCGGUAGCUAAAUGCGGAAGAGAUAAGUGCUGAAAGCAUCUAAGCACGAAACUUGCCCCGAGAUGAGUUCUCCCUGACUCCUUGAGAGUCCUGAAGGAACGUUGAAGACGACGACGUUGAUAGGCCGGGUGUGUAAGCGCAGCGAUGCGUUGAGCUAACCGGUACUAAUGAACCGUGAGGCUUAACCUUACAACGCCGAAG
This 2925-nucleotide ribosomal RNA is filed under the name Escherichia coli. RNAcentral's name for it is "partial 23S ribosomal RNA". It matches the Rfam family "Bacterial large subunit ribosomal RNA". Lineage: Bacteria; Pseudomonadati; Pseudomonadota; Gammaproteobacteria; Enterobacterales; Enterobacteriaceae. The record is from RNAcentral.